Molecule: ribosomal RNA, 250 nt
Filed under: uncultured bacterium
Lineage: Bacteria
Description: partial 16S ribosomal RNA
Rfam family: Bacterial small subunit ribosomal RNA
Source: RNAcentral
UACGAAGGGGGCUAGCGUUGUUCGGAAUAACUGGGCGUAAAGCGCACGUAGGCGGAUUGGAAAGUUAGGGGUGAAAUCCCAAGGCUCAACCUUGGAACUGCCUCUAAAACUAUCAGUCUAGAGAUCGAGAGAGGUGAGUGGAAUUCCGAGUGUAGAGGUGAAAUUCGUAGAUAUUCGGAGGAACACCAGUGGCGAAGGCGGCUCACUGGCUCGAUACUGACGCUGAGGUGCGAAAGCGUGGGGAGCAAAC